Molecule: ribosomal RNA, 420 nt
Filed under: Fusobacteriota bacterium
Lineage: Bacteria; Fusobacteriati; Fusobacteriota
Description: Fusobacteria bacterium partial 16S ribosomal RNA
Rfam family: Bacterial small subunit ribosomal RNA
Source: RNAcentral
UGGGGGAUAUUGCACAAUGGGCGAAAGCCUGAUGCAGCGACGCCGCGUGGGGGAUGAAGGCCUUCGGGUUGUAAACUUCUUUUGCUCUGAACAAGGCAUGCCUUUGGGGUGUGUUGAGUGUAGGGGUUGAUUAGCGCCGGCUAACUACGUGCCAGCAGCCGCGGUAAUACGCAGGGCGCGAGCGUUUUCCGGAAUUAUUGGGCGUAAAGGGCUUGUAGGUGGCUGGUUGCGUCUGUCGUGAAAGCUCAUGGCUUAACUGUGGGUUUGCGGUGGGUACGGGCUGGCUUGAGUGCAGUAGAGGAGGCUGGAAUUCCUGGUGUAGCGGUGGAAUGCGCAGAUAUCAGGAGGAAUACCGGUGGCGAAGGCGGGUCUCUGGGCUGUUACUGACGCUGAGGAGCGAAAGCGUGGGGAGCGAACAGG